UGAUUAGAGAAAUGGAACGAUUGAAAUACUACAAGGAAUUGGUGAAAAAAAACAUGCUAAUUUGGGCCGAAAUAUCCAACUCAGAUAAAUGGCAUGAUUGCCCACAUAAAGAUCACAUGAGUUGACCCAGAAAAGAACCAACCAACCAAUCAUUCAUUCAUUCAUUCUCAAUGGGAAUAAGCAAUUGGAGUAUAUGAAAAAAGGAGUUCAGACUAAUUAAACUGGUGGUAUAGGGUAAUCCAAUCUUUCAACGGGUCAUCAUAAAAAUCGAGUCUUUUUUUGUAUUCAAGAAUCAGAAAAACCCAGUUCAGCAACAAUAAAGCAUACCCAAAUGAAGUUGAAUUAAAUAAAUAAAACAAGAGAAAAAUGAGUUGUUCAGUAGAUUAUGGUUCGUACCGUUGGUUCAAGAGAAGACAAAGACCAAACAUGGAAGUUUGCUGAUCAAACUCUCCUCUCUCUCUAUCCUUCGUCUUCCUCUGCAAAAGAUUUACAAGUGCGCGUGAGAAUAGGGUGUGUAUGAAGAAGCGGGC
RNAcentral lists this long non-coding RNA (530 nucleotides) under Panax ginseng (ginseng). RNAcentral's name for it is "long non-coding RNA (PGIN_LNC014575)". The record is from RNAcentral. Lineage: Eukaryota; Viridiplantae; Streptophyta; Magnoliopsida; Apiales; Araliaceae.